Molecule: long non-coding RNA, 625 nt
Organism: Trichomycterus rosablanca
Lineage: Eukaryota; Metazoa; Chordata; Actinopteri; Siluriformes; Trichomycteridae
Exons: 3
Source: RefSeq, a predicted model, not a curated record
CAGCUGAUAAGUGAAAAUAAGCUCAUAAACACACCUUCUAAUGAUUUCAAGCAAGUGGAUAAGAACUAGUAAAAGAAACAAGCCCUUGAGGAGAAAUAGAAAUGAACAAUGCCCACCGUUUUACGUUAGGAUAUGAGCAGCAACACCUGACCCUGGAUCAUCACUUAUCCUGAUAAAUCAUCAGGCCUCAGACUCCAGGUCUUCCAGUCCUUCACCGUUUGCCUCCUCUCCUGUCUCACUCUCCAACAACAGGAACUUCCCGUCGUUGGUCAGAGGCACGGACUUCAUAAGGAAUUCUGAAGCAGGCAGCACAAUAUCGAACUGGAUGGGCGUUCCAGGGGCGAUUAGGUCUUCAGGCUCUGGAACAGCAGAAGCAGCAAGGGGCUUUGUAAUGGUAGGAGGGAGCGCAGAGCCUGGCUUAGCCCUACAAAAAAGAUGAGUGAGUUUAGCUUAAUAACAGUGUAAAGAUGCAUGAAAUGAAGGCUGAUAUAGCAGUUAAAAAUUGACGCUUCAUCGCAUACUGUUACUAUAAGAGCACUUAAGGUGUGGCAAAUGAUUUUGUGGGUGAAAUGUGUAGACAGUUAAGUAAGCAUGUGAAGCUUUACUUUUUAUAAUAAGCUUGCAU